GAAAGAAACACCAAUAGAUUUAAAAAAAUGUUUAUAUAUUGUUUGUAAAAUAAAAGAAAAAUUACGCUUAUUUUUAAAAGAAUGCAUUUUUGGAAGGUGUGAUUGUGGCCUAAUGAACAAAUUUCUGGAAGAAAUUGGUACGAAUAACACUGCCCUGUUCACAUAAAUGUGGCUCCCCAGGUGCAAUGUUUGCUGACCUCACACAGUGUGCAUAAUAAUGCCAAUUGGUCAGGUAUUUCAUGAAGUCCCAUAUAUGUCUGCACUCUGCUGGAUACACAUGAGAGGUAUAAGAUUCCUUCCCUCUGGUGAGGUGCAAAGGCGUGAACAAGAUGGUUUUCCGGGUGUCAUGUGAGAAGCAUUGAUCUACGAUCUGUUCCCCUUCCUGCUUCCUCUUCUCCCUUUUGCCCAUGUUCUGGUGCUAUCCAGAAGGAAAAGACUUUCUGAAGGUGAGGGUCUCAUUUUAUCUCCCGUGACUUUUUGCUUGUAACUGGGAGGUUUUACUAAAGGGCAUGCCGUUUUCAGACUCUUUUCAUACCUAAAAAAAAAAAAAAAAGGUUU
This 558-nucleotide long non-coding RNA is filed under the name Pan troglodytes (chimpanzee). RNAcentral describes it as "lncRNA (ENSPTRG00000053316.1)". The record is from RNAcentral. Lineage: Eukaryota; Metazoa; Chordata; Mammalia; Primates; Hominidae.